RNAcentral lists this ribosomal RNA (1103 nucleotides) under uncultured bacterium. RNAcentral's name for it is "bacterial SSU rRNA". It matches the Rfam family "Bacterial small subunit ribosomal RNA", at positions 323 to 1416 of the family's 1533-position model. The record is from RNAcentral.
GUCGGGAGCACGAUUCUACGGGAGGCAGCAGCUAAGAAUAUUCCGCAAUGGACGAAAGUCUCGUACGGAGCGACGCCGCGUGGAUGAUGAAGGCCGAAAGGUUGUAAAAUCCUUUUGUCGGGGAAGAAUAAGCGUGGGAGGGAAUGCCCGCGUGAUGACGUUAACCGGCGAAUAAGCCCCGGCUAACUACGUGCCAGCAGCCGCGGUAACACGUAGGGGGCGAGCGUUGUUCGGAAUUACUGGGCGUAAAGGGCAUGUAGGCGGUUUUAUAAGCCUGACGUGAAAGGCUAUGGCUCAACCAUGGCAUUGCGUUGGGAACUGUGAGACUCGAAUCACGGAGGGGGAGCUGGAAUUCCAGGUGUAGGGGUGAAAUCUGUAGAUAUCUGGAAGAACACCAGUGGCGAAGGCGAGCUCCUGGCCGAUGAUUGACGCUGAGGUGCGAAAGUGUGGGGAUCAAACAGGAUUAGAGACCCUGGUAGUCCACACUGUCAACGAUGUGCACUAGGUGCUGGGGCGGACGUCUCAGUGCCGGAGCUAACGCGGUAAGUGCACCGCCUGGGGAGUAUGCUCGCAAGGGUGAAACUCAAAGGAAUUGACGGGGGCCCGCACAAGCGGUGGAGCAUGUGGUUUAAUUCGAUGGUACACGAGAAACCUUACCUGGGUUUGACAUACACUUGAAUACGGUAGAGAUAUCGUAGUCCCCGCAAGGACAGGUGAACAGGUGCUGCAUGGCCUGUCGUCAGCUCGUGCCGUGAGGUGUUGGGUUAAGUCCCGCAACGAGCGCAACCCCUACUGCCAGUUACCAACACGUUAUGGUGGGGACUCUGGCGGAACUGCCGGUGACAAACCGGAGGAAGGUGGGGAUGACGUCAAGUCCUCAUGGCCCUUAUGUCCAGGGCUACACACGUGCUACAAUGGUCGGUACAAAGUGACGCGAAGCCGCGAGGUGAAGCAAAUCGCAGAAAGCCGGCCUUAGUUCGGAUUGGAGUCUGAAACUCGACUCCAUGAAGGUGGAAUCGCUAGUAAUCGCACAUCAGCACUGUGUGCGAGUGAAUACGUUCCCGGGCCUUGUACACACGCGCCACUCACUGUAGCAGUCUAGU